Molecule: ribosomal RNA, 497 nt
Filed under: uncultured bacterium
Lineage: Bacteria
Description: partial 16S ribosomal RNA
Rfam family: Bacterial small subunit ribosomal RNA
Source: RNAcentral
GAUGAACGCUGGCGGCGUGCCUAAUACAUGCAAGUCGAGCGAACGGACGAGAAGCUUGCUUCUCUGAUGUUAGCGGCGGACGGGUGAGUAACACGUGGAUAACCUACCUAUAAGACUGGGAUAACUUCGGGAAACCGUAGCUAAUACCGGAUAAUAUUUUGAACCGCAUGGUUCAAAAGUGAAAGACGGUCUUGCUGUCACUUAUAGAUGGAUCCGCGCUGCAUUAGCUAGUUGGUAAGGUAACGGCUUACCAAGGCAACGAUGCAUAGCCGACCUGAGAGGGUGAUAGGCCACACUGGAACUGAGACACGGUCCAGACGCCUACGGGAGGCAGCAGUAUGGAAUCUUCCGCAAUGGGCGAAAGCCUGACGGAGCAACGCCGCGUGAGUGAUGAAGGUCUUCGGAGCGUAAAACUCUGUUAUUAGUGAAGAACAUAUGUGUAAGUAACUGUGCACAUCUUGACGGUACCUAAUCAGAAAGCCACGGCUAACUACGUG